This 447-nucleotide ribosomal RNA is filed under the name uncultured bacterium. Its description in RNAcentral is "SSU rRNA". It matches the Rfam family "Bacterial small subunit ribosomal RNA", at positions 26 to 518 of the family's 1533-position model. The record is from RNAcentral.
AGAGCGAACGCUGGCGGCAGGCCUAACACAUGCAAGUCGAGCGCCCGUAGCAAUACGGGAGCGGCAGACGGGAGAGUAACACGUGGGAACGCGCCCUUCGGUUCGGAAUAACUCAGGGAAACUUGAGCUAAUACCGGAUACGCCCUUACGGGGAAAGAUUUAUUGCCGAAGGAACGGCCCGCGUCCGAUUAGCUAGUUGGUGAGGUAAUGGCUCACCAAGGCGACGAUCGGUAGCUGGUCUGAGAGGAUGACCAGCCUCACUGGGACUGAGACACGGCCCAGACUCCUACGGGAGGCAGCAGUGGGGAAUAUUGGACAAUGGGCGCAAGCCUGAUCCAGCCAUGCCGCGUGGAUGAUGAAGGCCUUAGGGUUGUAAAGUCCUUUUAACGGGGAAGAUAAUGACGGUACCGUAGAAUAAGCCCCGGCUAACUUCGUGCCAGCAGCCGC